UAAAAUUAAAAUUUUUAUUUGUCUAUAUUUUAUAUGUAAUUAUUAAAGGGAAUAAACUGUAUUUUAUAUAAGUAUAGGAUUAUUUAAUUUACAGUAAAUUAAUUUAUAAAAUUUAAUAGUUUAAUAAAUAGAAAUAGAGAAUUGAGUAUAUUCAAAAUUUGUGCCAGCAGUUGCGGUUAUACAAAUUAUGCGAUAAAAAUUUAUUGGAUAUAAGUUAAUUUGAUUUAAAUUUAAAAAAUAAUUAUUUAUUAGGUGAAAUUAGAAGUAGUUAUUAUUAAUUAUUUAUGAAGCUAAGAAGUUUUGCUUUAGACUAGGAUUAGAUACCCUAUUAUAAAAGAGUAAUAAAAAAAAUUCUUAUUAGUAUUAGUUAAGUUCUUUAAAAUAAAUAAAAUUGGCAGUAUUUUAAUUUAAUCAGAGGAACUUGUCUUGUAAAUGAUAGUCCACGUUUAAUUUGUCUUAAGUUAUUAAGUUUAUAUAUAGUCGUGGUUGAGUAUCUUUUUAAAGAUAAAUAUUCAUAAUUUAAAUUUAGAGAAUAGCAGAUAAAUAUGUAGUUUAUAUUUAAGUAAUGAUGAGUUACAGUUAUAAUAAUAAUAGUUUUAAGUUUAUAAUUUAUAAGAAAUUGGAUUUGAAUGUAAAUUUUAAUAUAUAUUAGAAUUGAUUAAAAUUUUAAAAUAUGUACAUAUUGCCCGUCGCUUUCAUUUAAAAUGAAAUAAGUCGUAACAAAGUAGAAGUACUGGAAAGUGUUUCUAGAAAACA
RNAcentral lists this non-coding RNA (756 nucleotides) under Scolytinae sp. BMNH 1040146. The record is from RNAcentral. Lineage: Eukaryota; Metazoa; Arthropoda; Insecta; Coleoptera; Curculionidae.